GUCCACGCCGUAAACGGUGGGUACUGGGUGUGGGAGGUGUAAUGCCUUCUGUGCCGAAGCUAACGCGUUAAGUACCCCGCCUGGGGAGUACGGCCGCAAGGUUGAAACUCAAAGGAAUUGACGGGGGCCCGCACAAGCGGUGGAGCAUGUGGUUUAAUUCGACGCAACGCGAAAAACCUUACCUGGGCUUGACAUGGCGAGAACCCGGUAGAAAUACUGGGGUACUUCGUAAGAGGAACUCGCACACAGGUGCUGCAUGGCUGUCGU
Molecule: ribosomal RNA, 267 nt
Filed under: uncultured bacterium
Lineage: Bacteria
Description: partial 16S ribosomal RNA
Rfam family: Bacterial small subunit ribosomal RNA
Source: RNAcentral